This 216-nucleotide ribosomal RNA is filed under the name Glomeromycotina sp. RNAcentral's name for it is "partial small subunit ribosomal RNA". The stretch from base 87 to 216 matches the Rfam family "Eukaryotic small subunit ribosomal RNA", at positions 733 to 864 of the family's 1831-position model. The record is from RNAcentral. Lineage: Eukaryota; Fungi; Glomeromycota.
GGGUCAGUAGGUUGGUCGUGCCACCGGUACGUACUGGUCUCACUGAUUCCUCCUUCCUGAAGAGCCGUAAUGCCACUAAUUUGGUGUUGCGGGGAAACAGGACUGUUACUUUGAAAAAAUUAGAGUGUUUAAAGCAAGCUAACGCUUGAAUACAUUAGCAUGGAAUAAUGAAAUAGGACGAUCGAUCCUAUUUUGUUGGUUUCUAGGAUUGACGUA